CACGUAGGGCGCGAGCGUUGUCCGGAAUUAUUGGGCGUAAAGAGCUCGUAGGCGGCCUGUUGCGUCCGCUGUGAAAGCCCGGGGCUUAACCCCGGGUCUGCAGUGGAUACGGGCAGGCUAGAGGUAGGUAGGGGAGAAUGGAAUUCCCGGCGUAGCGGUGAAAUGCGCAGAUAUCGGGAGGAACACCGGUGGCGAAGGCGGUUCUCUGGGCCUUACCUGACGCUGAGGAGCGAAAGCGUGGGGAGCGAACAGG
RNAcentral lists this ribosomal RNA (253 nucleotides) under uncultured bacterium. Its description in RNAcentral is "partial 16S ribosomal RNA". It matches the Rfam family "Bacterial small subunit ribosomal RNA", at positions 524 to 776 of the family's 1533-position model. The record is from RNAcentral.